AAAUGCGAUAAGUAAUGUGAAUUGCAGAAUUCAGUGAAUCAUCGAAUCUUUGAACGCACAUUGCGCCCCCUGGUAUUCCGGGGGGCAUGCCUGUUCGAGCGUCAUUUCACCACUCAAGCCUCGCUUGGUAUUGGGCAACGCGGUCCGCCGCGUGCCUCAAAUCGACCGGCUGGGUCUUCUGUCCCCUAAGCGUUGUGGAAACUAUUCGCUAAAGGGUGCUCGGGAGGCUACGCCGUAAAACAACCCCAUUUCUAAGGUUGACCUCGGAUCAGGUAGGGAUACCCGCUGAACUUAAGC
Molecule: unclassified non-coding RNA, 297 nt
Filed under: plant metagenome
Description: partial contains 5.8S ribosomal RNA, internal transcribed spacer 2, and large subunit ribosomal RNA
Rfam family: 5.8S ribosomal RNA (bases 1-104)
Source: RNAcentral